Molecule: ribosomal RNA, 497 nt
Filed under: uncultured bacterium
Lineage: Bacteria
Description: partial 16S ribosomal RNA
Rfam family: Bacterial small subunit ribosomal RNA
Source: RNAcentral
GACGAACGCUGGCGGCGUGCUUAACACAUGCAAGUCGAACGAACAGACGAUGCGCUUGUGGCGUUCUCGAGUGCCGAACGCGUGAGUGACACACGUGUAUCCUGCCCUUGUCUUUGGGGUAACUUCUGGAGACUCCGGCUCAUACACCAGAGGAGCUCCUGCACCGUGUUGGGCAUUAGUGAGAUUCGGUGUUUCGGUAUCUUCUCGCUGCUUCCGCGCCGCUUUGGCUGGUUGGUAAGGUAACGGCUUUUCAAGGCAACGAUGCGUGACCGAGCUGAGAGGGUGAUCGGCCACACGGGAACUGGGACACGGUCCAGACUCCUACGGGAGGCAGCAGUAGGGAAUCUUCCGCAAUGGGCGAAAGCCUGACGGAGCAACGCCGCGUGAGUGAUGAAGGUCUUCGGAUCGUAAAACUCUGUUAUUAGGGAAGAACAAAUGUGUAAGUAACUAUGCACGUCUUGACGGUACCUAAUCAGAAAGCCACGGCUAACUACGUG